GAGUUUGAUCAUGGCUCACGGAUGAACGCUAGCGGCAGGCCUAACACAUGCAAGUCGAGGGGUACGUUAUAUGCUUGCAUAUAACACGACCGGCGCACGGGUGCGUAACGCGUAUGCAACCUACCCUUUACUGGAGGAUAGCCCGGAGAAAUCCGGAUUAAUACUUCAUGGUACUAUUUGAGGGCAUCUGAGGAUAGUUAAAGAUUUAUUGGUAAAGGAUGGGCAUGCGUGACAUUAGCUAGUUGGUACGGUAACGGCGUACCAAGGCGACGAUGUCUAGGGGUUCUGAGAGGAAGAUCCCCCACACUGGUACUGAGACACGGACCAGACUCCUACGGGAGGCAGCAGUGAGGAAUAUUGGUCAAUGGGCGGAAGCCUGAACCAGCCAUGCCGCGUGCAGGAAGACGGCCUUCUGGGUUGUAAACUGCUUUUAUACGGGAGCAAAAGGGUUCUGCGGAACACAUUGAGAGUAUCGUAUGAAUAAGCACCGGCUAACUCCGUGCCAGCAGCCGCGGUAAUACGGAGGGUGCAAGCGUUGUCCGGAUUUAUUGGGUUUAAAGGGUGCGUAGCGGCGUAAAUCAGUCAGUGGUGAAAGCCGGCCGCUCAACGGUCGAGGUGCCAUUGAAACUGUUAUGCUUGAGUACAGACGAGGUAGCGGAAUUUAUGAUGUA
This 671-nucleotide ribosomal RNA is filed under the name uncultured Sphingobacteriia bacterium. Its description in RNAcentral is "bacterial SSU rRNA". It matches the Rfam family "Bacterial small subunit ribosomal RNA", at positions 9 to 677 of the family's 1533-position model. Lineage: Bacteria; Pseudomonadati; Bacteroidota; Sphingobacteriia. The record is from RNAcentral.